UCAGUCAUAUGCUAGAUUGGCUCGACUCUAGUUCAUUUGUGAAUCUCGUGAAAACUCUUUUUCAGUAUUCAUACUUAUUCUGGUCAGAGAUUUUUCUGAACUCAAUGUUACGAAUUGCAUAAGACUUCUCUUUUUCUAUCAAGAUCGAUAAAUUCUAUCUAGGUGUAUCCUACUCCAAACAAUGAAUCUGAACCUACAUGGCCAAUAUACACAGCAAGAACCCAUAUAGCUAGGGAUCAAGAAAAUAUGCAGUCAAAUUAUAUAGCCUCACUGUGAAUAGCCAACACACCGCAGGUCAAAGGAUCAGUCACACCACU
Molecule: long non-coding RNA, 317 nt
Filed under: Elaeis guineensis (African oil palm)
Lineage: Eukaryota; Viridiplantae; Streptophyta; Magnoliopsida; Arecales; Arecaceae
Description: long non-coding RNA (EGUI_LNC015412)
Source: RNAcentral